Molecule: ribosomal RNA, 453 nt
Filed under: uncultured bacterium
Lineage: Bacteria
Description: bacterial SSU rRNA
Rfam family: Bacterial small subunit ribosomal RNA
Source: RNAcentral
UACGGGAGGCAGCAGUGGGGAAUAUUGCACAAUGGGCGCAAGCCUGAUGCAGCCAUGCCGCGUGUAUGAAAAAGGCCUUCGGGUUGUAAAGUACUUUCAGUCGUGAGGAAGGUGUUAAGGUUAAUAACCUUAGCAAUUGACGUUAGCGACAGAAGAAGCACCGGCUAACUCCGUGCCAGCAGCCGCGGUAAUACGGAGGGUGCGAGCGUUAAUCGGAAUUACUGGGCGUAAAGGGCACGCAGGCGGUUAAUUAAGUUGGAUGUGAAAUCCCCGGGCUUAACCUGGGAAUGGCAUUCAAGACUGGUUAGCUAGAGUCUUGUAGAGGGGGUUAGAAUUCCAUGUGUAGCGGUGAAAUGCGUAGAGAUGUGGAGGAAUACCGGUGGCGAAGGCGGCCCCUGGACAAAGACUGACGCUCAUGUGCGAAAGCGUGGGGAGCAAACAGGAUUAGAUACC